GUUGUGCUGGUCAUCUAACACCUUUCAGGGAAAAAAAAUUUGAAUUGAAAUAAUAUGACUUCUGGUUUCCAUUGGAAAUUCUUAUACAGUUAAUUGAGGCCUCCUGCUCCUAAGGUUUCUAUAUCUGGUCUCAUCUUUCGUCUGUCUAACUCCAUUCUUGAGAUUAAGGGAAUACGGACAGAUGGAAGACAGUGGGAAUUAAUUUGGAUAAUGAUAUGAAGAAAAAAUUUUUGAAAAAACAACUGGAAAUAAAGUUGUUUUUUUCAAAAACUUUUUGAUUAACUAUCUUCAAGUUUUUUCUCUUGCAUGUUUCCAACCUGGUCACUAGCAUUACCCAAAGAACUGGAUAGUCAGUUAAGGCAUUAGCCUAAUGGUCUGGAGACCUGAUAGACUGAUCUCUCCUGGAUUUGAUCCAGGUGAGCAACCUUGAGAAGUUUUGAAUUUGCCUGUCAUAGGAAAUGCGCCCUAUUCCUCAUCACCCAAUUAUACCCAAUUGUUGGUUUGGCUGAAUUCAUAAUGAUCAUAAUUAAAAACAGGCCUUUUGCUGCCCACAGGACAGAGUCAAUGGAACAAUUUAUUUGAGGGGUUGAGAAAUUAUUAAUGGUCAAAUUUUAUUAAAAUAAUGCAUACAACUUUGAAUUUUGAUUUAUGUUCAAUAAAAUUAUAUUAAUUCCUAUUUGAUUAUUUAUUUCAUCCUGUAGGUAAUUUAUUCUUAUUCUGUAUUAGUUUAGAAAUAGAUUGGCAAAUUAAAUCUAAUUUUGGAAAGAGUUGACAAAGAAAAAGGCUUUCAUUUAUCAUUACCCAUUAUUGCCCAAUUUACUUUUACUUUACCCUCAGGUUUACUUUUAGACCUUUGGGGGUAGUACUACAGCCUUGCAGCCAGGGCUGUGGAGUCGCGUAAAAAUCUACCGACUCCGACUCCGGCUCUUCCUUACCAAUCCGACUCCGACUCCACAGCCCUGCCAGGGUUGUAGAGUCGCGUAAAAAUCUACCAACUCUGACUCCAACUUUUCCUUACCAUCCGACUCCAACUCCGGCUAAAACACCAAAACUCCACGACUCCGACUCCGACUCCAUAGCCCUGCUUGCAGCAUAAAAACUGCAUGCCAGCAUCAAACAUAGAGGGUACUAUGAUCAUAUGUACACUGUUUAGAAUCUCUUUUCCAAGGUAUCAUCCAAGUACUCUAUUCCAGACCAUCAUCAUCUGAUUUUCUCCAACUUCUACAAGUGUGAUACAUCAGUCCAAAUCAUUGUGUGUCCAAUUAUAUCAAGAAUUCCAAUUGGUAGAAAUGGAAAUUGAAGCAGAAAUAUGAAUUAAUUAAAAAUGUUUUUUGCAAUCAGUUUCAUAUAAUACUAAGUUUCUUCUGUAAAAUUCUUUCAUUCUUUUUAAAAAAUGAUAUUCCUUCACAAUCUGUUCAAUGGUACGGUAGAGCCUCGAUUAUCCGACUCAAUUGGGGACUGGGGUUGGUCGGAUAACCGAAAAGUAUGAAAAAAUCCAUUA
Centruroides sculpturatus (bark scorpion) is the source of this 1501-nucleotide long non-coding RNA. RefSeq lists it as uncharacterized. The record is from RefSeq and is a predicted model, not a curated record. NCBI's taxonomy places the organism in Eukaryota, Metazoa, Arthropoda, Arachnida, Scorpiones, Buthidae. The transcript is spliced from 3 exons.